UAUCGUGAGGUAGAAUCUGAAGGAACCGACGCCAAACCGAAUGCAACCAAGCUUGCUUGGAUUGCUGAGGUGCGAAGGAGGAAAAGUGAAACUUAACACAGCGGCAAACAUCUGGUCUGACGGACAGAAAUCCGAUAUAAGGCCUAUGGUGAGGAUAAGUUUGCAAACGAAGACAAAGUCCGAUAACUAUCCGAAAUCAUCCAAGGUAAAUCGGGCAGACAUAAGAUGGAAAGAGU
RNAcentral lists this non-coding RNA (236 nucleotides) under human gut metagenome. The record is from RNAcentral.